GGUGUGUCGGGGGCGCGCGGACUCGGGCGGGGGCUUCGGGGGCGCGCAGGAGGCCCUGGCGGCCGGCGCGGCCCCGAGAGGCGGCCCGCCUGGCCCUGUGCCGAGAGCGGGGAGCAGUCCGUGGGUUCGGUAGCACCGAGGGGAGCCGAGGCCCUCGAUGCGCAGCGUCGCAAGGAGCGCGGGUCAAUACGGUGUGAUGCGAAGGCCGUUUUUCUGGUGGGGGUCGGGGCUACGCGAAAUAACGCCCUUGCCGGUGUCAAAAACCCAGUAUUAGAGACGCUUUCUUUUGUCUGCAGUGCUGUUCCCGCCCCAGGCCUCUGGGAGGAGCAGUGCACUGGGUUUUGGACUCUUCAGGACAAAUGGUGUGGGACCCGCGAAGAACCUCUGAGCGGGACAUUCCUGGCCGGGAGAUCCCUCUCUGGCACACGCUUACUGGCCGUGUAAUUCUGGAAACAACCUGAGCCUCAGUUUACGAUCUGUAAAAUUGCAAAAAUGGUGCCCAGCUGGACGGCUGUUGUGAGCCUUCAGUGGGCGGUGGGUAUUGUACUGACUGCAGGCCUCAGGGCUGUGUGACGCCAGGUACCUGGACAGCGUCCCUGCGGUCACUGUGUUGGUCUCUUUCUCUGACACCAGCGAUGCUGUUGAAGAAGGCUGUCCAGCUCGAGGUCGGUCAUGACUUACACUGACCUGGGAGAGAGAGGGGACCCUGGCCUCGGGGGCAGAGGCACCGCGGUGAACAAGAACUCUACCCUUCAGGCCAAGUUUCAAGAAACUUCUACCAGAAGGACUAGAAAAUACCGGUUGGCAGUGAGGUCUGGUUUACCACAGGCUUUCCAAGGAAUUUAACAUUUGUUUAUUCUUGUAACAAAUUAAAAUCUAUCCUGUACUUUGUCCAGAGGUCAAGCUUGAAUACCUUGAGGCAGGAGUGAGGUUUUGUUUUUUUAAGGACAGCUCCCUACUGUUAUGUGUAAUUUGUUUCUAAAAAUGUGUGUGAACGCCAAUCAGUAUUUCUUUGAUUGGUAGAGUCACAAAUAAAAUGGAAUUUGUAGGCUCA
This is a non-coding RNA of Manis javanica (Malayan pangolin), 1054 nucleotides long. The record is from RefSeq and is a predicted model, not a curated record. Lineage: Eukaryota; Metazoa; Chordata; Mammalia; Pholidota; Manidae.